Molecule: ribosomal RNA, 603 nt
Filed under: Proctoporus unsaacae
Lineage: Eukaryota; Metazoa; Chordata; Lepidosauria; Squamata; Gymnophthalmidae
Description: partial 12S ribosomal RNA
Source: RNAcentral
GGUGUGUACAUGUCCCAGAGCUGGUGUUAAUUUAAAUAGUCUUGUUUAAAUUACUGCUAAAUCCGCCUUCAUUUUCUUUUUCAGUGAAGAAGUAUAAGUUCGUGUGGUUUAAUAUAAACAAUGUAGCCCAUUGCCUCCACCAUAUAAGCUACACCUUGACCUGACUUGUUAGUAUAUUACUAUUUUGUCUACUUGUAUUCUUUUAAAAGGUAGACUGACGACGGCGGUAUAUAGGCUGGUAGUGUUCUAAAGGUGGUUAGGUAUAUCGUGGGUUGUCGAUUAUGGAACAGGCUCCUCUAGGAAGGUUGGGACACCGUCAAGUCUUUUGAGUUUUAGGCUUUCGCUCGUAAUUUUCUGGCGGAUGGGGUCUUAGUGGUGCUUAAGCAUAGUAGGGUAUCUAAUCCUAGUUUGUGUCUUAAGGGUCAUGGGUCAAAAAGUCUGUUGUAUUAAAGGUUUGGUGUUCUGAUAAUUUGUGAAUUUAACUUCAUAAUUAAAGUUUUUAAUUAAUAUAUUAGAUUAUUAUAGCCAUGCUUUACGCCGUAAGUAUUACUUUUAGCUUAAAUUCGUAUAACCGCGGUCGCUGGCACGAAAUUUACCAGCAUU